CCUACGGGUGGCAGCAGUGGGGAAUAUUGCACAAUGGGGGAAACCCUGAUGCAGCGACGCCGCGUGAGUGAAGAAGUAUUUCGGUACGUAAAGCUCUAUCAGUAGGGAAGAAAAUGACGGUUCCUGACUAAGAAGCCCCGGCCAACUACGUGCCCGCAGGCGCGGUAAGACGUAGGGGGCAAGCGUUAUCCGGAUUUACUGGGUGUAAAGGGAGCGUAGACGGCAACGUAAGUCUGGAGUGAAAUCCCAUGGCUUAACCAUGGAACUGCAUUGGAAACUGUGCAGCUAGAGUGCAGGAGAGGUAAGCGGAAUUCCUAGUGUAGCGGUGAAAUGCGUAGAUAUUAGGAGGAACACCAGUGGCGAAGGCGGCUUACUGGACUGUAACUGACGUUGAGGCACGAAAGCGUGGGGAGCAAACAGGAUUAGAUACCCCAGUAGUC
Molecule: ribosomal RNA, 440 nt
Filed under: uncultured bacterium
Lineage: Bacteria
Description: partial 16S ribosomal RNA
Rfam family: Bacterial small subunit ribosomal RNA
Source: RNAcentral